Molecule: long non-coding RNA, 208 nt
Organism: Ornithodoros turicata
Lineage: Eukaryota; Metazoa; Arthropoda; Arachnida; Ixodida; Argasidae
Exons: 3
Source: RefSeq, a predicted model, not a curated record
CUGCGAGAAACGAAUGUAUCCGGCCGUGCUCCCGAAACUUUUGAGGAAUUCCAACAUUUUUAAGCGAUUCAUCGAGUGGAUGACUGCGUGCUGCAGCUGUGCUUUUCAUCUCCUGCGUGCGUACAAAACUGGAAUGCUGGAGGACUUCAGCUCAAGAAUGUCAUGCUGGACCACUACCAGAGCGUGCUUAAAGGAAUCAAUGCCUUGA